This 254-nucleotide ribosomal RNA is filed under the name uncultured bacterium. RNAcentral's name for it is "partial 16S ribosomal RNA". It matches the Rfam family "Bacterial small subunit ribosomal RNA", at positions 524 to 776 of the family's 1533-position model. The record is from RNAcentral.
UACGGGGGGGGGCAAGCGUUGUUCGGACUUACUGGGCGUAAAGGGCUCGUAGGCGGCCAACUAAGUCAGACGUGAAAUCCCUCGGCUUAACCGGGGAACUGCGUCUGAUACUGGAUGGCUAGAGGUUGGGAGAGGGAUGCGGAAUUCCAGGUGUAGCGGUGAAAUGCGUAGAUAUCUGGAGGAACACCGGUGGCGAAGGCGGCAUCCUGGACCAAUUCUGACGCUGAGGAGCGAAAGCCAGGGGAGCAAACGGG